RNAcentral lists this transfer RNA (71 nucleotides) under Hofstenia miamia. RNAcentral's name for it is "tRNA-Gly for anticodon GCC". It matches the Rfam family "tRNA". From Rfam's summary of the family: Transfer RNA (tRNA) molecules are approximately 80 nucleotides in length. Their secondary structure includes four short double-helical elements and three loops (D, anti-codon, and T loops). Lineage: Eukaryota; Metazoa; Xenacoelomorpha; Acoela; Hofsteniidae. The record is from RNAcentral.
GUAUUGGUGGUCUAGUGGUAUGAGGUCACCCUGCCACGGUGGCGACCCGGUUUCGAUUCCCGGCCCAUGCA